UUUUUUUUUUUCAUUUUUGUUUCUCCCAAAGAAAUAUCAAUAAUGAAAAUGCAAAAUCACCAAAAUUUAUUGAUAAAAUUUUCAUUAUUAUUAAUAAUAAUAUUGCAUCAUGAAUCAUAUGCUAUGCAACAUUUAGUUGGAGAUUCAAUUUGGACUAUUCCUCCUACAAAUAAUUUCUACACAAAUUGGUCUUCUUCCCAAGUUUUCUUCCCUGGAGACACUCUUUAUUUUCAGUUUGAUCCAGAAUUUUAUAAUGUAAUGCAAGUAUCAAGAAGAGAAUAUGGUUAUUGCACAUCAAAUCAAGCUUAUAAGGUAUUUAAUGAUGGUCCAUUAAAUAUUACAUUGAUAGAGUCUGGGGUAUUUUAUUACAUGUGUAACAUCUUAAAUUAUUGUGAAUUAGGCCAAAAAUUUAGUGUUACUGUCCUUCAAAAUUCAUCCAAUAACUAUGUCCCACCGCCCUCGACUUCUUCGUGA
Molecule: long non-coding RNA, 474 nt
Organism: Solanum lycopersicum (tomato)
Lineage: Eukaryota; Viridiplantae; Streptophyta; Magnoliopsida; Solanales; Solanaceae
Source: RefSeq, a predicted model, not a curated record